AGUGAACGCUGGCGGUAGGCCUAACACAUGCAAGUCGAACGGCAGCACGGUAAGAGCUUGCUCUUACGGGUGGCGAGUGGCGGACGGGUGAGGAAUACAUCGGAAUCUACUUUUUCGUGGGGGAUAACGUAGGGAAACUUACGCUAAUACCGCAUACGACCUACGGGUGAAAGCAGGGGAUCUUCGGACUUUGCGCGAUUGAAUGAGCCGAUGUCGGAUUAGCUAGUUGGCGGGGUAAAGGCCCACCAAGGCGACGAUCCGUAGCUGGUCUGAGAGGAUGAUCAGCCACACUGGAACUGAGACACGGUCCAGACUCCUACGGGAGGCAGCAGUGGGGAAUAUUGGACAAUGGGCGCAAGCCUGAUCCAGCCAUACCGCGUGGGUGAAGAAGGCCUUCGGGUUGUAAAGCCCUUUUGUUGGGAAAGAAAAGCGGCAGGUUAAUACCCCGCUGUUCUGACGGUACCCAAAGAAUAAGCACCGGCUAACUUCGUG
This 492-nucleotide ribosomal RNA is filed under the name uncultured bacterium. Its description in RNAcentral is "partial 16S ribosomal RNA". It matches the Rfam family "Bacterial small subunit ribosomal RNA", at positions 29 to 507 of the family's 1533-position model. The record is from RNAcentral.